Molecule: ribosomal RNA, 235 nt
Filed under: uncultured bacterium
Lineage: Bacteria
Description: partial 16S ribosomal RNA
Rfam family: Bacterial small subunit ribosomal RNA
Source: RNAcentral
CGGCGGACGGGUAAGUAAUGUAUGGGAAACUGCCCGAUGGAGGGGGAUAACUACUGGAAACGGUAGCUAAUACCGCAUAACGUCGCAAGACCAAAGAGGGGGACCUUCGGGCCUCUUGCCAUCGGAUGUGCCCAGAUGGGAUUAGCUAGUAGGUGGGGUAACGGCUCACCUAGGCGACGAUCCCUAGCUGGUCUGAGAGGAUGACCAGCCACACUGGAACUGAGACACGGUCCAG